RNAcentral lists this ribosomal RNA (255 nucleotides) under uncultured bacterium. RNAcentral's name for it is "partial 16S ribosomal RNA". It matches the Rfam family "Bacterial small subunit ribosomal RNA", at positions 524 to 776 of the family's 1533-position model. The record is from RNAcentral.
UACGUAGGGUGCAAGCGUUGUCCGGAAUUAUUGGGCGUAAAGAGCUCGUAGGCGGUCUGUCGCGUCGGAUGUGAAAACCCAGGGCUCAACCCUGGGCCUGCAUUCGAUACGGGCAGACUAGAGUUCGGUAGGGGGAGACUGGAAUUCCUGGUGUAGCGGUGAAAUGCGCAGAUAUCAGGAGGAACACCGGUGGCGAAGGCGGGUCUCUAGUACGUGACUGACGCUGAGACGCGAAAGCGUGGGGGAGCGAACAGG